GCAUUGGUGGCUCAGUGGUAGAAUUCUUACCUUUCACUUGGGAGACCUGGGUUCUAUUCCCAGCCAGUGCA
RNAcentral lists this transfer RNA (71 nucleotides) under Loxodonta africana (African savanna elephant). It matches the Rfam family "tRNA". Rfam says of the family: Transfer RNA (tRNA) molecules are approximately 80 nucleotides in length. Their secondary structure includes four short double-helical elements and three loops (D, anti-codon, and T loops). Further hydrogen bonds mediate the characteristic L-shaped molecular structure. tRNAs have two regions of fundamental functional importance: the anti-codon, which is responsible for specific mRNA codon recognition, and the 3' end, to which the tRNAs corresponding amino acid is attached (by aminoacyl-tRNA synthetases). tRNAs cope with the degeneracy of the genetic code in two manners: having more than one tRNA (with a specific anti-codon) for a particular amino acid; and 'wobble' base-pairing, i.e. permitting non-standard base-pairing at the 3rd anti-codon position. Lineage: Eukaryota; Metazoa; Chordata; Mammalia; Proboscidea; Elephantidae. The record is from Rfam by way of RNAcentral.